GAUGAACGCUAGCGGCAGGCCUAAUACAUGCAAGUCGAACGGAUAUAUGUUUUUCGGAAUAUAUAUUAGUGGCGCACGGGUGAGUAACACGUACAUAACUUGCCCUCAAGCGGGGGAUAGCCUUGGGAAACUGAGAGUAAUACCCCAUAGAAUUAUUGGACGGCAUCGUUUGAUAAUUAAAACUACGGUGUUUGGGGAUAGAUGUGCGUCUGAUUAGCUAGUUGGUGAGGUAACUGCUCACCAAGGCGACGAUCAGUAGGGGGCGUGAGAGCGUGGCCCCCCACACGGGUACUGAGACACGGACCCGACUCCUACGGGAGGCAGCAGUAAGGAAUAUUGGUCAAAUGGAGGGAACUCUGAACCAGCCAUGCCGCGUGAAGGAUGACGGCCCUCUGGGCUGUAAACUUCUUUUGGAUGGGGCGAAAAAACGGGAUUUAUCCUGGACUGACGGUACCAUCAGAAUAAGCACCGGCUAACUCCGUG
Molecule: ribosomal RNA, 483 nt
Filed under: uncultured bacterium
Lineage: Bacteria
Description: bacterial SSU rRNA
Rfam family: Bacterial small subunit ribosomal RNA
Source: RNAcentral